This 223-nucleotide long non-coding RNA is filed under the name Musa acuminata (dwarf banana). RNAcentral describes it as "long non-coding RNA (MACU_LNC005255)". The record is from RNAcentral. Lineage: Eukaryota; Viridiplantae; Streptophyta; Magnoliopsida; Zingiberales; Musaceae.
UUCUGAAUUAUUUGAAAGAUUUCAGCCUAGAACCGGAUAUUUCUCUUGUUAAGAUACAAAAAUCAUGGAUCUGAAAUUUUUUGGUAAACUGACCCCUAUACAUUGUUUCAGCCAUAAUUUUCAGUACCGAACAUGGAUUUAGGCAGGACCUUGUUUAUUUGAAAGUAUACUCUUAUACCUUCCUUUUGACACUGAUUUUGAAAAAUUUGGACUCCGAAUACUU